UAGUCCACGCCGUAAACGAUGUGUGCUAGAUGUCGGGUCCAUAGGAUUCGGUGUCGCAGCUAACGCACUAAGCACACCGCCUGGGGAGUACGGUCGCAAGAUUAAAACUCAAAGGAAUUGACGGGGGACCCGCACAAGCGGUGGAGCAUGUUCUUUAAUUCGACGCAACGCGAAGAACCUUACCUACACUUGACAUCCUGAUCGCGUUUUCUAGAGAUAGAUUACUUCAGUUCGGCUGGAUCAGUGACAGGUGCUGCACGGCUGUCGUCAGCUCGUGUCGUGAGAUGUUUGGUUAAGUCCAGUAACGAGCGCAACCCCUAUCGUUAGUUGCCAUCAUUCAGUUGGGCACUCUAGCGAGACUGCCGGUGAUAAGCCGGAGGAAGGCGGGGGAUGACGUCAAGUCCUCAUGGCCCUUAUGGGGCUGGGGCUACACACGUGCUACAAUGGGAGUUACAGUGGGGCAGCAACGUCGCGAGGGCGAAGCUAAUCCCUAAAA
This 496-nucleotide ribosomal RNA is filed under the name uncultured bacterium. RNAcentral describes it as "bacterial SSU rRNA". It matches the Rfam family "Bacterial small subunit ribosomal RNA", at positions 791 to 1280 of the family's 1533-position model. The record is from RNAcentral.